This 378-nucleotide ribosomal RNA is filed under the name uncultured bacterium. Its description in RNAcentral is "bacterial SSU rRNA". It matches the Rfam family "Bacterial small subunit ribosomal RNA", at positions 28 to 400 of the family's 1533-position model. The record is from RNAcentral.
GACGAACGCUGGCGGCGUGCCUAACACAUGCAAGUGGAGCGACGAACCGGGCUUCGGCCCGGGCAAAGCCGCGAACGGGUGAGUAACACGUGGGUAACCUGCCCUGAUGAUCGGGACAACCCGAGGAAACUCGGGCUAAUACCGAAUGUGCCCUCCGGCCAUAAGGCCACUGGGGAAAGGAAGCUUCGGCCUCCGCAUCGGGAUGGGCCCGCGGCCCAUUAGCUUGUUGGUGAGGUAACGCUCACCAAGGCAAUGAUGGGUAGCUGGUCUGAGAGGACGAUCAGCCACACUGGGACUGAGACACGGGCCCAGACUCCUACGGGAGGCAGCAGUGGGGAAUCUUGCGCAAUGCGCGAAAGCGUGACGCAGCAACGCCGC